Molecule: non-coding RNA, 88 nt
Organism: Dendrothele bispora CBS 962.96
Lineage: Eukaryota; Fungi; Basidiomycota; Agaricomycetes; Agaricales
Source: the annotation of a GenBank genome assembly
GGGGGUAUAGCUCAGCUGGGAGAGCAGCAGACUGAAGACACAUCAUUGGUCAUUCUGAAGGUCCCGCGUUCGAUCCGCGGUACCCCCA